UACGGAGGGUGCAAGCGUUGUUCGGAAUUAUUGGGCGUAAAGGGCGUGUAGGCGGUUUGGUAAGUCAGAUGUGAAAUCCCUGGGCUUAACUCGGGAAGUGCAUUUGAAACUGCCAUGCUUGAGUAUGGGAGAGGAGAGUGGAAUUCCCAGUGUAGAGGUGAAAUUCGUAGAUAUUGGGAGGAACACCCGUGGCGAAGGCGACUCUCUGGACCAAUACUGACGCUGAUACGCGAAAGUGUGGGGAG
Molecule: ribosomal RNA, 245 nt
Filed under: uncultured Desulfatiglans sp.
Lineage: Bacteria; Pseudomonadati; Thermodesulfobacteriota; Desulfobacteria; Desulfatiglandales; Desulfatiglandaceae
Description: partial 16S ribosomal RNA
Rfam family: Bacterial small subunit ribosomal RNA
Source: RNAcentral